CUCUACAGCCAUGCCAACCUGCCCAAUCUCGUCUAAUCUUAGAAACUAAGCAGGAUCGGCCUGGUUAGUACUUGGAUGGGAGACCACCUAGGAAGACCAGGUGCUGUAGGCA
This 112-nucleotide ribosomal RNA is filed under the name Pteropus alecto (black flying fox). The record is from RNAcentral. Lineage: Eukaryota; Metazoa; Chordata; Mammalia; Chiroptera; Pteropodidae.